RNAcentral lists this ribosomal RNA (414 nucleotides) under uncultured Gemmata sp. RNAcentral's name for it is "bacterial SSU rRNA". It matches the Rfam family "Bacterial small subunit ribosomal RNA", at positions 355 to 774 of the family's 1533-position model. The record is from RNAcentral. Lineage: Bacteria; Pseudomonadati; Planctomycetota; Planctomycetia; Gemmatales; Gemmataceae.
UCGAGGAUCUUCGGCAAUGGGGGCAACCCUGACCGAGCGACGCCGCGUGUGCGACGAAGGCCUUCGGGUUGUAAAGCACUGUCGAGGGGGAGAAAAGCCCGCAAGGGUGUGAUCUAUCCCUGGAGGAAGCACGGGCUAAGUUCGUGCCAGCAGCCGCGGUAAGACGAACCGUGCGAACGUUGUUCGGAAUCACUGGGCUUAAAGGGCGCGUAGGCGGGCUGCCAAGUCCGUAGGUGAAAUCCCCCGGCUCAACCGGGGAACGGCCUCGGAUACUGGCGGCCUGGAGGGGGGUAGGGGCGUGCGGAACUGUGGGUGGAGCGGUGAAAUGCGUUGAGAUCCACAGGAACUCCGGUGGCGAAGGCGGCACGCUGGACCCUUUCUGACGCUGAGGCGCGAAAGCCAGGGGAGCGAACG